This 253-nucleotide ribosomal RNA is filed under the name uncultured bacterium. RNAcentral's name for it is "partial 16S ribosomal RNA". It matches the Rfam family "Bacterial small subunit ribosomal RNA", at positions 524 to 776 of the family's 1533-position model. The record is from RNAcentral.
UACGUAGGGUGCAAGCGUUGUCCGGAAUUAUUGGGCGUAAAGGGCUCGUAGGCGGUUUGUCGCGUCGGGAGUGAAAUCCACUGGCUUAACUGGUGGCUUGCUUUCGAUACGGGCAGACUGGAGGUAUGCAGGGGAGAACGGAAUUCCUGGUGUAGCGGUGAAAUGCGCAGAUAUCAGGAGGAACACCGGUGGCGAAGGCGGUUCUCUGGGCAUGUCCUGACGCUGAGGAGCGGAAGUGUGGGGAGCGAACAGG